Molecule: transfer RNA, 82 nt
Filed under: Anaeromyces robustus
Lineage: Eukaryota; Fungi; Neocallimastigomycota; Neocallimastigomycetes; Neocallimastigales; Neocallimastigaceae
Rfam family: tRNA
About the family: Transfer RNA (tRNA) molecules are approximately 80 nucleotides in length.
Source: Rfam by way of RNAcentral
GUCAGUUUGUCCGAGUGGUUAAGGAGUUUGACUCGAAAUCAAAUAGGCUAUGCCUGCGCAGGUUCAAAUCCUGCAGCUGACG